UACGGGGGGGGCAAGCGUUGUUCGGAAUUACUGGGCGUAAAGGGCUCGUAGGCGGCCAACUAAGUCAUACGUGAAAUCCCUCGGCUUAACCGGGGAACUGCGUCUGAUACUGGAUGGCUCGAGUUUGGGAGAGGGAUGCGGAAUUCCAGGUGUAGCGGUGAAAUGCGUAGAUAUCUGGAGGAACACCGGUGGCGAAGGCGGCAUCCUGGACCAAUACUGACGCUGAAUAGCGAAAGCCAGGGGAGCAAACGGG
Molecule: ribosomal RNA, 253 nt
Filed under: uncultured bacterium
Lineage: Bacteria
Description: partial 16S ribosomal RNA
Rfam family: Bacterial small subunit ribosomal RNA
Source: RNAcentral